UAUUGGACAGUGGGCGCAAGCCUGAUCCAGCAAUACCGCGUGUGUGAAGAAGGCCUUAGGGUUGUAAAGCACUUUCAAUUGGGAGGAAAACCUGCCGGUCAAUACCCGGUAGCUUGACAUUACCUUUAGAAGAAGCACCGGCUAACUCCGUGCCAGCAGCCGCGGUAAUACGGAGGGUGCGAGCGUUAAUCGGAAUUACUGGGCGUAAAGCGUGCGUAGGCGGUUCGUUAAGUCAGAUGUGAAAGCCCUGGGCUCAACCUGGGAACUGCAUUUGAAACUGGCGGACUAGAGUUUAGUAGAGGGGAGUGGAAUUUCAGGUGUAGCGGUGAAAUGCGUAGAUAUUUGAAGGAACACCAGUGGCGAAGGCGACUCCCUGGACUAGAACUGACGCUGAGUACGAAA
RNAcentral lists this ribosomal RNA (402 nucleotides) under uncultured bacterium. RNAcentral describes it as "bacterial SSU rRNA". It matches the Rfam family "Bacterial small subunit ribosomal RNA", at positions 362 to 758 of the family's 1533-position model. The record is from RNAcentral.